CUUACUUCUGAUCGUCAGUUUAGUUCCUCCACCAAAAGUGUACCACAGUGCUUCAUUCUAGUGAAAGCGUCGUACAAAAACCUCCUUCACACUCAAAUGAACACAAACUCCACAACACACACACACACACACACUGAUAUGAGACUCAACAGCAGACAUGAAAUAUUGGACUAUUGAUCAAUUGUCUUUAUACAUCUUCAUUUGGGUUUCUAAAAGAUCAUAUAUUUCUCAAAGCAGUUUUAAUGAGUUCUGAUGACCUGUGACCUCUGAAAUGACCUUUGCCCUCACACUGAGUUCACAGGGACAUACUUGUUUCUCUGAAUGUUUCAGCUCUGUCACUGAAUCAAGAGAAAACCUGCAGUCUGAACCAGAGACUCACACAGAAUGAAAAAGACAUGAUUUCCAGAUUUGUAAAGAAGUGAGAACACACAGCACUGGAUCAUGAGACUAAAACAGGUUUAGAGGCUCAGGUUUCAUCUGCAUGUGGGGAUGUUCAUGUCUGUUUUCCUCCAGGAGGGUUUUUCCACAGAGAGUCACUUUGCAUCAGCACAUGCUUCAGCGCUCCGAGUGUUUAUAGCGUUCAGACUCAACACUUUAUAACACACUGCUGUUUACCACGGUACAAAACCAACAAACACAAUGAAUCUCUUCAGCAGCUUCAUCUGGAUUCUGGCAGCUUUUAUUCCAGCAGCAUCCAGAGGAAUCACUGUGACUCAGCCUGAAGCUGUGACUGUUUCUGAACGACAAGACGCCACGAUAGAGUGUAAAACUGAUCCUGGAAUAACUAGCUGGGGUUUAGCUUGGUAUCAGCAGAAACCUGGAGAAGCUCCUAAACUCAUCAUUUAUGAUGUAACCGAUCUCGAAGAUGAGAGUUUCAGUCGAUUCAGUGGGAAUGGAGAGUCAAGUGGGACUGAUUUCACUCUGACCAUCAGUGGAGUCCAGACUGAAGAUGCUGGACAUUAUUACUGUCAGAGUUACCACAACAUCAACAGUAAACGUGUGUUCACACAGUGAUAAAGCGUGGUACAAAAACCUGUGUCAGUCAGAGUCACAGUGACUGAACUGAUGCUGCAGCUGCUCAAACACUAUCACUCACUCAACAGGGAAAAACAUAUUAAUAUUAUCUUACAAUAAACAUCAGUUUUGUUGAGCUACAACAUUUAUUUUUGAUUAUGAUUUUUCUGAAGGUAUUUUUGUCUCCUGAUAUUUUCACUCCUUCAUGUAGAAAUCCAUCCACUUUCGAUCUUCAGUGGAUAUUUUUCCAUCCCAUUCCAUUAUUAUGAUUUAUUAAGUUCAUGCUUCAUAAUGCAGAUAUUAACUGCAUCAUAUAAAAUGUUUAUCAAUUUCAAAACAAAUGAUAAUGAAUAUAAUUUAUAUAAAUAUUCAUGCAGGAAAGAUUAACAAUGAUAUAAAGGUUAAUUUUCAAAUGAAAGACCAGAUUACCCAACAGCUUCAGUUAACCAUUAAAAAACAUACGCAUAUCACCAUAUUUACAUUUAUUUGAUAAAGAUUUAUAAAGAGUGAACAUGUAUUAUGUCAUGUGUGACGUGACUCCUCAUCAAACUCAGAGACUGACAGAGAUAUGUGUGUGAUGAUCCUCAUGUCUGUUAAAAACCUGCAGGAACAUCCAUAGAUUUAAUAUAAAAUUACCCAUCUUGGAAAGUAUGUUCAAAAUAACUGUGGUUAUGUCUUAAAUGGAAGAUAACAGUUGAGAAAAAAAAUAGAUAUGUAUUAUAUUGGAUGCAUGAGCAUCUAAUUUAGCUACUUAUUGAUGUAAUGUUAAUCGCAGAAAAUGUAAUUUAUUAAUAAGAUUCGGGAGGAGCGCGUCAGAUACCUAACCAACACAGGUGGACCAUAAUCAAGUAAUCAAUCCCAUAGUAUAAAUAUCGCUGACUUACCUCUAUCCACUGACGGUUUAUCAAAAUGCUGGUUCGCUUCGUCAGU
This is a non-coding RNA of Carassius gibelio (silver crucian carp), 1944 nucleotides long. The record is from the annotation of a RefSeq genome assembly. NCBI's taxonomy places the organism in Eukaryota, Metazoa, Chordata, Actinopteri, Cypriniformes, Cyprinidae.